Molecule: microRNA precursor, 61 nt
Filed under: Carlito syrichta (Philippine tarsier)
Lineage: Eukaryota; Metazoa; Chordata; Mammalia; Primates; Tarsiidae
Source: RNAcentral
UGGGCUAGGAGACAUGAGUGGAUAGAAAAUAAUAUUCUAUUCAUUUGCCUCCCAGCCUACA